AACGAACGCUGGCGGCAGGCCUAACACAUGCAAGUCGAGCGCCCCGCAAGGGGAGCGGCGGACGGGUGAGUAACGCGUGGGAAUAUGCCCUUUGCUACGGAAUAGUCUCGGGAAACUGGGGGUAAUACCGUAUACGCCCUUUGGGGGAAAGAUUUAUCGGCGAAGGAUUAGCCCGCGUUGGAUUAGGUAGUUGGUGGGGUAAUGGCCUACCAAGCCGACGAUCCAUAGCUGGUUUGAGAGGAUGAUCAGCCACACUGGGACUGAGACACGGCCCAGACUCCUACGGGAGGCAGCAGUGGGGAAUCUUAGACAAUGGGGGCAACCCUGAUCUAGCCAUGCCGCGUGAGUGAUGAAGGCCUUAGGGUUGUAAAGCUCUUUCGGCUGGGAAGAUAAUGACGGUACCAGCAGAAGAAGCCCCGGCUAACUCCGUG
RNAcentral lists this ribosomal RNA (431 nucleotides) under uncultured bacterium. RNAcentral describes it as "partial 16S ribosomal RNA". It matches the Rfam family "Bacterial small subunit ribosomal RNA", at positions 29 to 507 of the family's 1533-position model. The record is from RNAcentral.